UUGUUUAUAACUAUAUAUUGGUUGUAUGUUGGUUUUAUAACUAGCAUAUCAAUCCUGCAAUCUCAGGGAAUUUAUCCUAAAAUAGGUUGUGUUUGUUUCCUAAAUUAUUAAUGUAUGUAUAUAUAUCAAAUGUAUGUAAUGAGACUGAAUAAGAGACGAAUUAUUUUCUUCUAAAUUUCAGAUACCAUAAAUCGUGUAUGAAAUGAACGGUCCUUUAGGGCAUUUAAAGAUGGAAAAGUGUUCUGACUAAUGUGAUAAAUGUGCUUAAAUGUUUGCAAAAUUUAAAUUAAUCAUACAUAUUUCCCUUCUAGUUUUAUUUACAUCUUUAUAUUUUGAAGCAUGUAUUUUUUUUGUUUAAAUAGGUAUCAGAGAAAGGCAGCAAAGUUAAUCCAAGAUUUCACAGCUUGUGCAAAUGACGUUGCUCUGGAAACACUUUCUUCAAUAAGAACUGUACGAGCUUAUGGAACAGGAAAACGAGAAUUUGGAAGGUACAAGCAGUGGCUACAAAGCUUGGCAGUUAUAACUCUUCGAGAGAAUAUGGCUUCAGGGUUCUGGGACCUAAUAUUUAGCAGCUUAUAUCGUUUUAUGCAGAUAUUUGCAGUGCUGUUGGUAGGUUUGUCUGUUCUCAGAAGUCAUGUAACUGUGGAACAACUUACCAAGUAUGUACUAUACUGUGAGUGGUUGAUUUAUGCAACUUGGAGGAUGACAAACAGCUUAACAUCAUUGCUGCAGUCCAUUGGAGCAUCUGAACAAAUAUUCCAACUGAUUAAUCUUUUGCCCAGUGAUCAAUUCUUAGCCAAAGGCGUGAAAUUGCACAGGUUAGCAGGUCAUAUUCAGUUUGCAAAUGUAUCCUUUUAUUAUCCUGCAAGGACUAUGAUGCCUGUUCUAGAACACUUGGACUUCUCCAUAGAGGAAAAUCAAGUCGUUGCCAUUGUUGGUCUGAGUGGUAGUGGGAAGAGCACAUUACUCAACCUUUUGCUUCGUCUCUAUGAGCCUAGUAGUGGUCAGAUAUAUAUCGAUGGAUUCCCUCUUAAAGAGUUGGAUAUUCGUUGGCUGCGUCAGAACAUUAGUUAUGUUGCACAGGAAUCCCAUCUCUUUCAUAUGGACAUCAAGUCAAACAUAAAGUAUGGUUGCCCCGGGAACAUAAAACAAGAAGAUAUUGAACGGGCGGCGAAAAAGGCCUAUGCCCAUGAUUUCAUUUCUUCUCUUCCUAAUGGAUAUGAAACCCUUGUUGAUGACAAUGCACUUAGUGGCGGACAAAAGCAGCGAAUUGCCCUCGCCAGAGCCAUUCUUAGGGACCCUGUUAUAAUGAUACUUGAUGAAGCAACCAGUGCUCUAGAUUCUGAGAGUGAGCAUUAUAUCCAGGAGUCGCUGUAUGCGUUAAAAGAUGAAUCUAAAACAAGAACCAUCAUUAUCAUAUCUCAUAGGCUUUCUACUGCAAAAGCUGCUGAUAAGAUCUUUGUUAUGGAUGAUGGUGGCAUCAUUGAGAUGGGAGAUCAUGAAGAGCUUAUGCUCAAGGAUGGGCUCUAUGCAAAAUUAAAUAAAAUUCAAGCAAAUAUUUUGACUUGAUUUAAUUUAAGUUUGGGUUUUCAGUGAUGAUAAAGAAUAGGACUGCAAUUUAAAGUUAAAAAAGCCUGAGGUGCGGAUUUUCAUGGAGACAGAAGCCAUCGCACCCCCAUAAAGCUUCUACACAUCCAUUGGUGGAAACUACAACUACAUACAUCUCCAUUGCUCGAAACUUGUGAAGAAGAAAGUGGUGAUUCUUGUUGCAUCGUGCGUCACAAAAGAGGACGUAAUUGGGUUUAAAGUUUUCGACAUUCAGGUGAUAAGUUGUUAUUAUUUGAUUAUGUAUGUAUAAAUAUCAAUGUGAAUAUUUUAUUUGGAAUAGGUAUAAAUAUAUAAGCAUUUUCCAUACAUAGGAAGGAAGGAUGUCAAUCUCACAUAUAAUGAAGUUCAACUACAAGUAGCAAGAUACUCCACUAGAUGACAGAUUAUGUUAUUAUCCUAAUCGCACUCUUCAUUUAUUCUCGUUAUACAGCUUAGUUUGCAGAUACAAUAACAAAAACAGAGCACUUGAAAACAACAAAUUGAAUAU
Molecule: non-coding RNA, 2095 nt
Organism: Vigna umbellata (rice bean)
Lineage: Eukaryota; Viridiplantae; Streptophyta; Magnoliopsida; Fabales; Fabaceae
Source: RefSeq, a predicted model, not a curated record